UGAACGCUAGCUACAGGCUUAACACAUGCAAGUCGAGGGGCAGCAUUUUAGUUUGCUUGCAAACUGAAGAUGGCGACCGGCGCACGGGUGAGUAACACGUAUCCAACCUGCCGAUAACUCCGGAAUAGCCUUUCGAAAGAAAGAUUAAUACCGGAUAGCAUACGAAUAUCGCAUGAUAUUUUUAUUAAAGAAUUUCGGUUAUCGAUGGGGAUGCGUUCCAUUAGUUUGUUGGCGGGGUAACGGCCCACCAAGACUACGAUGGAUAGGGGUUCUGAGAGGAAGGUCCCCCACAUUGGAACUGAGACACGGUCCAAACUCCUACGGGAGGCAGCAGUGAGGAAUAUUGGUCAAUGGGCGAGAGCCUGAACCAGCCAAGUAGCGUGAAGGAUGAAGGCUCUAUGGGUCGUAAACUUCUUUUAUAUGGGAAUAAAGUUUUCCACGUGUGGAAUUUUGUAUGUACCAUAUGAAUAAGGAUCGGCUAACUCCGUGCCAGCAGCCGCGGUAAUACGGAGGAUCCGAGCGUUAUCCGGAUUUAUUGGGUUUAAAGGGAGCGUAGGUGGAUUGUUAAGUCAGUUGUGAAAGUUUGCGGCUCAACCGUAAAAUUGCAGUUGAAACUGGCAGUCUUGAGUACAGUAGAGGUGGGCGGAAUUCGUGGUGUAGCGGUGAAAUGCUUAGAUAUCACGAAGAACUCCGAUUGCGAAGGCAGCUCACUAGACUGUCACUGACACUGAUGCUCGAAAGUGUGGGUAUCAAACAGGAUUAGAUACCCUGGUAGUCCACACAGUAAACGAUGAAUACUCGCUGUUUGCGAUAUACAGUAAGCGGCCAAGCGAAAGCAUUAAGUAUUCCACCUGGGGAGUACGCCGGCAACGGUGAAACUCAAAGGAAUUGACGGGGGCCCGCACAAGCGGAGGAACAUGUGGUUUAAUUCGAUGAUACGCGAGGAACCUUACCCGGGCUUAAAUUGCAACAGAAUAUAUUGGAAACAGUAUAGCCGUAAGGCUGUUGUGAAGGUGCUGCAUGGUUGUCGUCAGCUCGUGCCGUGAGGUGUCGGCUUAAGUGCCAUAACGAGCGCAACCCUUAUCUUUAGUUACUAACAGGUUAUGCUGAGGACUCUAGAGAGACUGCCGUCGUAAGAUGUGAGGAAGGUGGGGAUGACGUCAAAUCAGCACGGCCCUUACGUCCGGGGCUACACACGUGUUACAAUGGGGGGUACAGAAGGCGGCUACCUGGUGACAGGAUGCUAAUCCCAAAAACCUCUCUCAGUUCGGAUCGAAGUCUGCAACCCGACUUCGUGAAGCUGGAUUCGCUAGUAAUCGCGCAUCAGCCAUGGCGCGGUGAAUACGUUCCCGGGCCUUGUACACACCGCCCGUCAAGCCAUGAAAGCCGGGGGUACCUGAAGUACGUAACCGCAAGGAGCGUCCUAGGGUAAAACUGGUAAUUGGGGC
This 1448-nucleotide ribosomal RNA is filed under the name uncultured organism. Its description in RNAcentral is "SSU rRNA". It matches the Rfam family "Bacterial small subunit ribosomal RNA". The record is from RNAcentral.